RNAcentral lists this ribosomal RNA (467 nucleotides) under uncultured bacterium. Its description in RNAcentral is "partial 16S ribosomal RNA". It matches the Rfam family "Bacterial small subunit ribosomal RNA", at positions 28 to 507 of the family's 1533-position model. The record is from RNAcentral.
GAUGAACGCUGGCGGCGUGCUUAACACAUGCAAGUCGAACGAUGAUGCCCAGCUUGCUGGGUGGAUUAGUGGCGAACGGGUGAGUAACACGUGAGUAACCUGCCCUUGACUCUGGGAUAAGCCUGGGAAACUGGGUCUAAUACCGGAUACGACCAUCUGGCGCAUGUCAUGGUGGUGGAUAGCUUUUGUGGUUUUGGAUGGACUCGCGGCCUAUCAGCUUGUUGGUGGGGUAAUGGCCUACCAAGGCGACGACGGGUAGCCGGCCUGAGAGGGUGGCCGGCCACACUGGGACUGAGACACGACCCAGACUCCUACGGGAGGCAACGGUGGGGAGUAUUGCACAAUGGGCGCGAGCCUGAUGCAGCGACGCCGCGUGAGGGAUGACGGCCUUCGGGUUGUGAACCUAUUUCAGUAGAGAAGAAGCGAAAGUGACGGUACCUGCAGAAGAAGCGCCGGCUAACUACGUG